RNAcentral lists this unclassified non-coding RNA (239 nucleotides) under Glomeraceae sp. RNAcentral describes it as "partial contains 5.8S ribosomal RNA and internal transcribed spacer 2". The stretch from base 1 to 71 matches the Rfam family "5.8S ribosomal RNA", at positions 84 to 154 of the family's 154-position model. Lineage: Eukaryota; Fungi; Glomeromycota; Glomeromycetes; Glomerales; Glomeraceae. The record is from RNAcentral.
GUGAAUCAUCGAAUUUUUGAACGCAUAUUGCACUUUCUGGUAUUCCGGAAAGUAUGCCUGUUUGAGGGUCAGUUAAAUAAAAAUCGGUGUUAUUGCUAUUAAUGGUGAUGAAUCGGACUUGAGUCGUCUUUACUUUUGGUUUUAUGUGAAUUAAAAUUAUGUACGAUUUCUGAACGUAUUUAAUUUAUUUACUUACGCUCAUGUUAUAAAAUAUAAGGUGCGGUCAUCUACAUCAUUUU